RNAcentral lists this ribosomal RNA (291 nucleotides) under Salinicola socius. RNAcentral describes it as "partial 16S ribosomal RNA". It matches the Rfam family "Bacterial small subunit ribosomal RNA", at positions 506 to 796 of the family's 1533-position model. Lineage: Bacteria; Pseudomonadati; Pseudomonadota; Gammaproteobacteria; Oceanospirillales; Halomonadaceae. The record is from RNAcentral.
UGCCAGCAGCCGCGGUAAUACGUAGGGUGCAAGCGUUAAUCGGAAUUACUGGGCGUAAAGCGUGCGCAGGCGGUUUUGCAAGACAGAUGUGAAAUCCCCGGGCUCAACCUGGGAACUGCAUUUGUGACUGCACGGCUAGAGUGUGGCAGAGGGGGGUAGAAUUCCACGUGUAGCAGUGAAAUGCGUAGAGAUGUGGAGGAACACCGAUGGCGAAGGCAGCCCCCUGGGAUAACACUGACGCUCAUGCACGAAAGCGUGGGGAGCAAACAGGAUUAGAAACCCGGGUAGUCC